Molecule: ribosomal RNA, 459 nt
Filed under: uncultured bacterium
Lineage: Bacteria
Description: partial 16S ribosomal RNA
Rfam family: Bacterial small subunit ribosomal RNA
Source: RNAcentral
CCUACAGGAGGCAGCAGUGAGGAAUAUUGGUCAAUGGGAGAGAUCCUGAACCAGCCAAGCCGCGUGAGGGAAGACGGCCCUAUGGGUUGUCAACCUCUUUUGUCGGAGAACAAAACCCGGGACGUGUCCCGGACUGCGUGUAUCCGAAGAAAAAGCAUCGGCUAACUCCGUGUCAGCAGCCGCGGUAAGACGGAUGAUGCGAGCGUAAUCCGGAUUUAGUGGGUUUAAAGGGUGCGUAGGCGGUCCGUUAAGUCAGCGGUAAAAUUCCGGGGCUCAACCCCGUCGAGCCGUUGAAACUGGCAGACUUGAGUUGGCGAGAAGUACGCGGAAUGCGCGGUGUAGCGGUGAAAUGCAUAGAUAUCGCGCAGAACUCCGAUUGCGAAGGCAGCGUACCGGCGCCAGACUGACGCUGAGGCACGAAAGCGUGGGGAUCGAACAGGAUUAGAUACCCCUGUAGUC